GAAUCUUGGACAAUGGGCGAAAGCCUGAUCCAGCCAUGCCGCGUGGAUGAUGAAGGCCCUAGGGUUGUAAAAUCCUUUCGUUGGGGACGAUAAUGACGGUACCCAAAGAAGAAGCUCCGGCUAACUUCGUGCCAGCAGCCGCGGUAAUACGAAGGGGGCGAGCGUUGUGCGGAGUUACUGGGCGUAAAGCGCGUGUAGGCGGGCUGGAAAGUUGGGGGUGAAAUCCCGAGGCUCAACCUCGGAACUGCCUCCAAAACUUCCAGCCUGGACCCAAGUAGAGGCAAGUGGAAUACCGAGUGUAGAGGUGAAAUUCGUAGAUAUUCGGUGGAACACCAGUGGCGAAGGCGACUUGCUGGACUUGUGGUGACGCUGAGACGCGAAAGCGUGGGGAGCAAACAGG
Molecule: ribosomal RNA, 400 nt
Filed under: uncultured bacterium
Lineage: Bacteria
Description: bacterial SSU rRNA
Rfam family: Bacterial small subunit ribosomal RNA
Source: RNAcentral